CAACCAGUUCAUUGUUCUUUCCCAUAAGUCCACAGUGACAGGGCAGUUCAUUAACAAGUGAUCUCUUGUUUUUGGGUGGGUUUGGCACAAGGUGCAUUAUUGAUCAAUACUCAUUCCCCAGCUGUGUAAUAUGUCCUUUAUUGGGAGUCUAUCCUGUAGGAAUAGCCAUAGGUUGAAAGUUGCUUUUGGCCUUGCUUGGUUCUAUAUGAUUAAAUUCUUCCAUGGGACUCUCGGCACUGCUUGCAUCUAUGACUGGUACAACUGUCUGGUCGAGUACUUUUGUUCCUUCCAAUUCUGGAUCCUUUGUAGAAUAUCUCUGGAUUGGAUGAUCUUUCUCACCAUCCAACUUGCUUGAGCAGGAAUUGGACUGGAUUUUAUUGGUCUGUCUUUGAUGUAAUAUACAGUGAUCCACCUAAUCCACAGCUUGUCCUUUUUAUGAGCUAGGUCCCAGCAGGUCUUUGUAAUUGCAGCUUUGUUCCAGAGCUUUAGGUUAGUGAGGUUCAUCCCAC
RNAcentral lists this long non-coding RNA (509 nucleotides) under Nicotiana benthamiana. RNAcentral's name for it is "long non-coding RNA (NBEN_LNC013603)". The record is from RNAcentral. Lineage: Eukaryota; Viridiplantae; Streptophyta; Magnoliopsida; Solanales; Solanaceae.